This 260-nucleotide ribosomal RNA is filed under the name uncultured bacterium. RNAcentral's name for it is "partial 16S ribosomal RNA". It matches the Rfam family "Bacterial small subunit ribosomal RNA", at positions 793 to 1055 of the family's 1533-position model. The record is from RNAcentral.
GUCCCAGCUGUAAACGAUGGAUAUUAGAUGUUGUCUAUAUAAAUAAUAUGCAGUAUCGUAGCUAACGCGUUAAAUAUCCCGCCUGGGAAGUACGCUCGCAAGAGUGAAACUCAAAGGAAUUGACGGGUGCCUGCACAAGCGGUGGAGCAUGUGGUUUAAUUCGAUGCAACACGAAAAACCUUACCAGGAUUUGACAUGAAGAGAAGUUUUUGAAAGAAAAUGUGCUACGGCCUCUUACACAGGUGGUGCAUGGCUGUCGU